Molecule: ribosomal RNA, 508 nt
Filed under: uncultured bacterium
Lineage: Bacteria
Description: bacterial SSU rRNA
Rfam family: Bacterial small subunit ribosomal RNA
Source: RNAcentral
GACGAACGCUGGCGGCGUGGAUUAGGCAUGCAAGUCGAACGGUAUCAUCCUUUCGGGGGUGAGAGAGUGGCGAACUGGUGAGUAACACGUAGGUUAUCUACCCUCAAGACGGGGACAACCCAGGGAAACUUGGGCUAAUACCGGAUGUGAGCAACUUUUAGUUGUUUGAAAGGUGGCGUAAGCUGUCGCUUGGGGAUGAGCCUGCGUCCUAUUAGUUAGUUGGUGAGGUAACGGCUCACCUAGGCAAUGAUAGGUAGGCGGCCUUAACGGGUGGUCGCCCACACUGGGAUUGAGAUACGGCCCAGACUCCUACGGGAGGCAGCAGUCGAGAAUAGUCUACAAUGGUCGGAAGACUGAUAGUGCGACGCCGCGUGAACGAUGAAUCCCUUCGGGGUGUAAAAGUUCUUUUAUAUGUGAGCAGUGCUUCUUAUAUUAACAGUAUGGGGAGAGAGAUAUUAGCAUAUGAAUAAAGCAAACGGCUAAACUCCGUGCCAGCAGCCGCGGUAAA